CAAGCGUUGUCCGGAUUUAUUGGGUUUAAAGGGUGCGUAGGCGGAUCUUUAAGUCAGUGGUGAAAGCCUGCAGCUUAACUGUAGAACAGCCAUUGAAACUGAAGAUCUUGAAUGUGGUUAAAGUAGGCGGAAUGUAUCAUGUAGCGGUGAAAUGCUUAGAUAUGAUACAGAACACCGAUAGCGAAGGCAGCUUGCUGAACCAUUAUUGACGCUGAGGCACGAAAGCGUGGGGAGCGAACAGG
This 242-nucleotide ribosomal RNA is filed under the name uncultured bacterium. RNAcentral's name for it is "partial 16S ribosomal RNA". It matches the Rfam family "Bacterial small subunit ribosomal RNA", at positions 535 to 776 of the family's 1533-position model. The record is from RNAcentral.